This 388-nucleotide ribosomal RNA is filed under the name Cryothecomonas sp. RNAcentral's name for it is "partial small subunit ribosomal RNA". It matches the Rfam family "Eukaryotic small subunit ribosomal RNA", at positions 587 to 975 of the family's 1831-position model. The record is from RNAcentral. Lineage: Eukaryota; Cercozoa; Thecofilosea; Cryomonadida; Protaspidae.
AGCUCCAAGAGCGUAUAUUAAAGUUGUUGCAGUUAAAAAGCUCGUAGUUGGAUUUCUGGUACAACGCGCCUGGCCCGCAAUUUUUGUGAGUGCCGGUGCGCGUUGGCCAUCCUUCUAGAAAACGUUUCUACCCGGGUAACUGGGCCGGACUCGCGAUCUAGAUCUUUUACUUUGAAAAAAUUAGAGUGUUUAAAGCAGGCUUUUGCUGUGAAUACAUUAGCAUGGAAUAAUAAUCUAGGACUUCGGUUCUAUUUUGUUGGUUUCUAGUACUGAAGUAAUGAUUGAUAGGGAUAGUUGGGGGUGCUAGUAUUGGCCGGCCAGAGGUGAAAUUCUUGGAUUCGGUCAAGACUAACUUAUGCGAAAGCAUUCACCAAGGAUGUCUUCUUUA